Molecule: ribosomal RNA, 1256 nt
Filed under: Bacillus amyloliquefaciens
Lineage: Bacteria; Bacillati; Bacillota; Bacilli; Caryophanales; Bacillaceae
Description: bacterial SSU rRNA
Rfam family: Bacterial small subunit ribosomal RNA
Source: RNAcentral
AGCUUGCUCCCUGAUGUUAGCGGCGGACGGGUGAGUAACACGUGGGUAACCUGCCUGUAAGACUGGGAUAACUCCGGGAAACCGGGGCUAAUACCGGAUGGUUGUCUGAACCGCAUGGUUCAGACAUAAAAGGUGGCUUCGGCUACCACUUACAGAUGGACCCGCGGCGCAUUAGCUAGUUGGUGAGGUAACGGCUCACCAAGGCGACGAUGCGUAGCCGACCUGAGAGGGUGAUCGGCCACACUGGGACUGAGACACGGCCCAGACUCCUACGGGAGGCAGCAGUAGGGAAUCUUCCGCAAUGGACGAAAGUCUGACGGAGCAACGCCGCGUGAGUGAUGAAGGUUUUCGGAUCGUAAAGCUCUGUUGUUAGGGAAGAACAAGUGCCGUUCAAAUAGGGCGGCACCUUGACGGUACCUAACCAGAAAGCCACGGCUAACUACGUGCCAGCAGCCGCGGUAAUACGUAGGUGGCAAGCGUUGUCCGGAAUUAUUGGGCGUAAAGGGCUCGCAGGCGGUUUCUUAAGUCUGAUGUGAAAGCCCCCGGCUCAACCGGGGAGGGUCAUUGGAAACUGGGGAACUUGAGUGCAGAAGAGGAGAGUGGAAUUCCACGUGUAGCGGUGAAAUGCGUAGAGAUGUGGAGGAACACCAGUGGCGAAGGCGACUCUCUGGUCUGUAACUGACGCUGAGGAGCGAAAGCGUGGGGAGCGAACAGGAUUAGAUACCCUGGUAGUCCACGCCGUAAACGAUGAGUGCUAAGUGUUAGGGGGUUUCCGCCCCUUAGUGCUGCAGCUAACGCAUUAAGCACUCCGCCUGGGGAGUACGGUCGCAAGACUGAAACUCAAAGGAAUUGACGGGGGCCCGCACAAGCGGUGGAGCAUGUGGUUUAAUUCGAAGCAACGCGAAGAACCUUACCAGGUCUUGACAUCCUCUGACAAUCCUAGAGAUAGGACGUCCCCUUCGGGGGCAGAGUGACAGGUGGUGCAUGGUUGUCGUCAGCUCGUGUCGUGAGAUGUUGGGUUAAGUCCCGCAACGAGCGCAACCCUUGAUCUUAGUUGCCAGCAUUCAGUUGGGCACUCUAAGGUGACUGCCGGUGACAAACCGGAGGAAGGUGGGGAUGACGUCAAAUCAUCAUGCCCCUUAUGACCUGGGCUACACACGUGCUACAAUGGACAGAACAAAGGGCAGCGAAACCGCGAGGUUAAGCCAAUCCCACAAAUCUGUUCUCAGUUCGGAUCGCAGUCUGCAACUCGACUG